UAUAAGAAGUGUGCUGCGAAGUGCUAGCCACUAGUUCUUUAUCAGCUAAUCUCCAAGAUGUCUCGGGUUGUGAUCUUCGUCUGCUUACUGAUGCUGGCGUCAGCGGUGGUGAGCCUCGACCUCCCCGGAGGCAUCAAGCCGCCCAGCGAUCUGCCCAAAGUGCCGGACGCGCCCAAACUGCCCGACGUCCCUAAACUGCCCGACGCCAAAGGACUCCAAGACCUUGGAGGGUAUUAACUAACAACUGUAUCACGUUCUGGAAAUAUGAAGAUGAAACCGACCAAAGCUUGAUUAAUAUUAUUUAUGUAGUUGAAGCAAAUAAAUGGAGCUCCAAA
This is a long non-coding RNA of Ostrinia nubilalis (European corn borer), 335 nucleotides long. RefSeq lists it as uncharacterized. The record is from RefSeq and is a predicted model, not a curated record. The transcript has 2 exons. Lineage: Eukaryota; Metazoa; Arthropoda; Insecta; Lepidoptera; Crambidae.